Molecule: ribosomal RNA, 557 nt
Filed under: Escherichia coli
Lineage: Bacteria; Pseudomonadati; Pseudomonadota; Gammaproteobacteria; Enterobacterales; Enterobacteriaceae
Description: partial 23S ribosomal RNA
Rfam family: Bacterial large subunit ribosomal RNA
Source: RNAcentral
UGUUUCGGCAAGGGGGUCAUCCCGACUUACCAACCCGAUGCAAACUGCGAAUACCGGAGAAUGUUAUCACGGGAGACACACGGCGGGUGCUAACGUCCGUCGUGAAGAGGGAAACAACCCAGACCGCCAGCUAAGGUCCCAAAGUCAUGGUUAAGUGGGAAACGAUGUGGGAAGGCCCAGACAGCCAGGAUGUUGGCUUAGAAGCAGCCAUCAUUUAAAGAAAGCGUAAUAGCUCACUGGUCGAGUCGGCCUGCGCGGAAGAUGUAACGGGGCUAAACCAUGCACCGAAGCUGCGGCAGCGACACUAUGUGUUGUUGGGUAGGGGAGCGUUCUGUAAGCCUGUGAAGGUGUGCUGUGAGGCAUGCUGGAGGUAUCAGAAGUGCGAAUGCUGACAUAAGUAACGAUAAAGCGGGUGAAAAGCCCGCUCGCCGGAAGACCAAGGGUUCCUGUCCAACGUUAAUCGGGGCAGGGUGAGUCGACCCCUAAGGCGAGGCCGAAAGGCGUAGUCGAUGGGAAACAGGUUAAUAUUCCUGUACUUGGUGUUACUGCGAAGGGGG